UCUACCUCCAACAAGUUCCACAGUGCC
Molecule: non-coding RNA, 27 nt
Filed under: Mus musculus (house mouse)
Lineage: Eukaryota; Metazoa; Chordata; Mammalia; Rodentia; Muridae
Source: RNAcentral